UACGAAGGGGGCUAGCGUUGCUCGGAAUUACUGGGCGUAAAGGGAGCGUAGGCGGACAUUUAAGUCAGGGGUAAAAUCCCGGAGCUCAACUCUGGAACUGCCUUUGAUACUGGGUGUCUUGAGUGUGAUAGAGGUAUGUGGAACUCCGAGUGUAGAGGUGAAAUGCGUAGAUAUUCGGAAGAACACCAGUGGCGAAGGUGACAUACUGGAUCAUUACUGACGCUGAGGCACGAAAGCGUGGGGAGCAAAAGGG
RNAcentral lists this ribosomal RNA (253 nucleotides) under uncultured bacterium. RNAcentral's name for it is "partial 16S ribosomal RNA". It matches the Rfam family "Bacterial small subunit ribosomal RNA", at positions 524 to 776 of the family's 1533-position model. The record is from RNAcentral.